This 465-nucleotide ribosomal RNA is filed under the name uncultured bacterium. RNAcentral describes it as "partial 16S ribosomal RNA". It matches the Rfam family "Bacterial small subunit ribosomal RNA", at positions 28 to 507 of the family's 1533-position model. The record is from RNAcentral.
GACGAACGCUGGCGGCGUGCUUAACACAUGCAAGUCGUACGGUAAGGCCCUUUCGGGGGUCCACGAGUGGCGAACGGGUGAGUAACACGUGAGUAACCUGCCCACAACUUUGGGAUAACGCUAGGAAACUGGUGCUAAUACUGGAUAUGUGCUCCUGCUGCAUGGUGGGGGUUGGAAAGCUCCGGCGGUUGUGGAUGGACUCGCGGCCUAUCAGCUUGUUGGUGGGGUAGUGGCCUACCAAGGCGGCGACGGGUAGCCGGCCUGAGAGGGUGACCGGCCACAUUGGGACUGAGAUACGGCCCAGACUCCUACGGGAGGCAGCAGUGGGGAAGAUUGAACAAUGGGCGCAAGCCUGAUGCAGAAACGCCGCGUGCGGGAGAACGGCCUUCGGGUUGUAAACCGCUUUCAGCAGGGACGAAGCUUUUUGUGACGGUACCUGCAGAAGAAGCACCGGCUAACUACGUG